Molecule: long non-coding RNA, 295 nt
Filed under: Elaeis guineensis (African oil palm)
Lineage: Eukaryota; Viridiplantae; Streptophyta; Magnoliopsida; Arecales; Arecaceae
Description: long non-coding RNA (EGUI_LNC045841)
Source: RNAcentral
GAUCAUUUGAGAACAGUGAUAGAUCCGGAUAAACUGAUGCACAAAUCACUUUCUUCAAGAUAGAUGAGUCUUUGAUCUACUGUGUGGAGACACAGGGUGAUGAGUGUAGAUAGUUGUUAGAGAACAACUAGUACCAAGCAUGACCAUAUGAGAGAUCACUUGAAUUUUUAUUCGAUCGUCAGUAAUUAUCUCGAUGCUGUAGUUAUAUGACUGAUCCUUCGACUUGAGAUGGCACUGCUGCUCGCAAUGAGGCUACUGAAGUUUGACUGACAUAUAAACAUGGAUCUCAAUGAGC